GGAUUCCCUCAGUAACGGCGAGUGAAGCGGGAAUAGCUCAAAUUUGAAAUCUCCGACGCWUGCGUCGGCGAAUUGUAGUUGCGAGAAGCACUUUCUAGGCGGAUCGGUCGUGCCUAAGUUGCUUGGAACAGUACGUCAUAGAGGGUGACAACCCCGUCUGUGGCUCGGCCGGCCGCUCACGAUGUGCUUUCGAAGAGUCGGGUUGUUUGGGAAUGCAGCCCAAAAAUGGUGGUAAACUCCAUCUAAAGCUAAAUACUGACGUGAGACCGAUAGCGAACAAGUACCGUGAGGGAAAGAUGAAAAGAACUUUGAAAAGAGAGUUAAAAAGUACGUGAAACCGUUUGAAGGGAAACGAAUGGACUCAGCAAUGCGCCCUUUGAGAUUCAGCCGGGCGGUUGUGGCGGUCCGGGGCUUGCGGAUCUGAAUGGACCGCGGUCUCGGGCCCGUCGCUUCCGACCGUCGCACUUCUCUUGGACGCGAGUCAACGUCGGUUGGGACUGGGCCUCAAAGGUUCCGGGAAGGUAGGUCCGGACGCUCGCGUUCGGACUGUUACAGCCCGGUUCUCUCGCGGCUCGGGCCCGACCGAGGCGGAUGCAGCACAUGCCUCUUCUGGCUAGGGUCCCGUCCUUCCGGCCGGUUGUCGAAUGCGGUGGACUGCUUGCAGUGCUCUGCGACUGCUGCCGGUCGUUGGGGUGGUGAUCUCGUACCAUGUGCUAAGGACGUUGGCGGUCAUAUGGGUCCAUCCGACCCGUCUUGAAACACGGACCAAGGAGUCUAACAUGUGCGCGAGUCUUAGGGUGCUUGAAACCCAGAGGCAGAAUGAAAGUGAAGACGGCUUCGGCCGCUGAGGCGAGAUUCCGACUCUCGUAGCCGGACGCAUCGUUGACCGACCUAUUCUACUCUUAGGAAGGUUUGAGUAAGAGCGUGUCUGUUGGGACCCGAAAGAUGGUGAACUAUGCCUGAAUAGGGUGAAGCCAGA
RNAcentral lists this ribosomal RNA (979 nucleotides) under Porites sp. NG11. RNAcentral describes it as "LSU rRNA". It matches the Rfam family "Eukaryotic large subunit ribosomal RNA", at positions 72 to 856 of the family's 3401-position model. The record is from RNAcentral. Lineage: Eukaryota; Metazoa; Cnidaria; Anthozoa; Scleractinia; Poritidae.